Molecule: long non-coding RNA, 631 nt
Organism: Gadus macrocephalus (Pacific cod)
Lineage: Eukaryota; Metazoa; Chordata; Actinopteri; Gadiformes; Gadidae
Exons: 3
Source: RefSeq, a predicted model, not a curated record
ACAUGCUGCAACACUCUCAACGGUUCUCAACAUGACGGAUACAGAGAUGGACCAGUUGGCUAACUUUCUUGGGCAUGACAUUAGAGUCCAUCGUGAGUUUUAUCGACUACCUGAGAAAACACUGCAGCUUGCCAAGGUUAGCAAGCUUCUCAUGGCCCUUGAGCAAGGAAGAUUGGCUGAGUUCCAUGGCCAAAACCUGGAUGAAAUCACAAUAGGGCCAGAUGACAGUCAUUUGUCCUGUUGAGACUGAUGAGACAGCUAAAACCAGGGGACGACACUAUUCAUCUCAAGGUAUAUAUUCAUUUAUCUCAAAAGAAGUGUUUACUGUAUGUGUUUCUCAAUGUCCUGUAAUCUUUGUCUUUGGCAGAAGAGACUCUUCCACUGACAGAAGAAGAAGGCCCCCCACUGACAGAGGAAGAAGGCCCCCCACCAACACGCAAGAGAGAUACACCAUCAGCAGCAGAAGAUGACCGUGUCGGAGCCGCAACACCUGUUGAAGAAUCAUCAGCAGAGGUGAGGAAUGCAGUCCCAUCAGUGAGCAAGAGGAGCAAGCCACUUUCUGGAGAGGAUGACCGGCUCACAGCUGUGAUGUCUGUCAAAGGUGAUUUAAAUAUAUAUUUUUUUCAUUACA